RNAcentral lists this unclassified non-coding RNA (237 nucleotides) under uncultured Russula. Its description in RNAcentral is "sequence contains ITS2". Lineage: Eukaryota; Fungi; Basidiomycota; Agaricomycetes; Russulales; Russulaceae. The record is from RNAcentral.
CAUUCUCAAACCUUCUCGGUUUCUCGACCGGAAAGGCUUUGGACUUUGGAGGCUUUUGCUGACCUUCCUUUGUUGGAAACAGCUCCUCUGAAAUGAAUUAGUAGGGUCUACUUUGCCGAUCCUUGACGUGAUAAAAUGUUUUCUACGUCUCGGGUUUCGCACUGUUUUGUCCUGGAUCCUGCUUCUAACCGUCUCUCAGAAGACAGAUGGUCGAGCGAUCGUCGCUCGACCCACGAA